AAAGAAGUUCUGUGGGUAAAAUGUUAUCAAACAGCAUCAUGUGCCACAGAGGAAAUUGGGAGGGGAAGAGUCAGUUGAUGCAGCAAACUUCACUGUUGUCUUAAGAAAUUGCUACAGCCACCCCGGCCUUCACCAACCACCACCCUGAUCAGUCAGCAAUCAUUAACAUUGAGGCAGUUCCUCUACCAGGGAAAAGAUUAUGACUCCCUAAAAGCUCAGAUGAUGGUCAGCCUUUUUUAGCAAUAAAGUAUUUUUAAAUAAGGUAUGUACAUUUUUUUGAAGACAUAGAAUUCUAUUGCAUAUUUAAUAGUUACAGUGUAAACAUAACUUUUAGAAGUACUGGGAAACUAAAAAAUUCAUUUGACUCAUUGUGAUAUUUGCUUUAUUGCAGUGGCCUAGAAUGGAACCCACAGGAUCUCUGAGGUGUGUCUGUAUAUAGUUUAAAAAGGCCACUGGUAACAUCACCUCCAGUAACAAAAACAGCCUUGAAUUUCAGUUGAGAAAAGAUUACCCUGAUGUCAAUUUCUGGAAUCACAGUUUUGGAGGGUCACAUGUUGCAGCUAGGGAGACCUGCAGUGGCCUUUUAGGAUAACGCAACUACCUGCACACUGGGAAUGAGAAGAUUCAUUCAUUCAGAAGACCAGGGAGUCAGCCCUCUUAUCUCAUUACAAGAAAAAGCCAAAGCAAAAAGCAAUGGCUUAGGGCACAGAUGGAUCCUCUUGCCCUCAGGCCUGAUCACCACAAACUGACUUCAUCAGCAGGUCUGGAAUACUCAACAGUUCCAGAACCACUGUUCUUUCUGGGAAAAAUUAAAAAGUAAAACUGCUGAGGAAGGACCAAGAUGGUGACCUAGGAGGUCCUGGACUUCCCUCUUCCCUUGGAUGCACUCAGUGUAUAGCCACAGAUGGAGCAUUUCCCUCUAAAAGAAGUCCAGAAACUAGCUGAGCGACUUCCAUAUCAGGUCUUGGUACAGGCUCAACUACUGGGAACUAAGAACAAAGGCAGCAGACUGAAUGAUCACAGAGGUCUGAGAGACAACCAAGAACCUGGGCCAAGCUGACAAGGUUCAUCUCCUACAUAAGACCACUCUGUUAAGACUAGGAGAGGUGGCUGCUUUAUCUAAUGUGCAGAGACCAAGAGCUUCAAGAAAAAUAGAAAAACGGGAAUAUCUUUCAAACAAAGGAACAAGAUGAAUCUCCAGAAAGCAAUCUUAAUGAAAUAAGUGACUUGCCUAAUAGUUCAAAACAGUGGUUGUACAGAUUCUUACUGAGGUCAGGAGAGCAAUGUAUGAGGAAAGACAGAAUUUCUCCAAGAGAUACAAAAUAUAUUUAAAGAACAACCCCAAACAUAAAUCAUACGGCUGAAGAAUACAAUAACUGAACUGAAAAAAUUCAAUAGAGGGGUUCAAUAGUAGACUAUAUCAGGCAGAAGAAAGGAUCAGCCAACAUAAAGACAGAGCAAAGAAUCGCUUAAGGCACUAAUGGUACACCAUCACAGGUACAAAUAUGUCCAUUAUACAGGUUCGAGAAGAAAGGAGCAGAAAGCUUUUUGAAAGAAAUACUGGCUGAAAACUUCCCUCAGCUGGGGAGAUAAACAGACAUACACAUCCAGGAAGCCCAAAGAAUACCAAACAAAAUGAAUCUAAAGAGACACACACACCAAAACACAUAAUUAAACUGUCAGAAGUUAAAAGACAAGGAGAGGAUCUUAAAAGCAUCAAGAGAAGAACAACUUGUUACAUAUAAGAGCACUCCCAUAAGACAGUCAGCCAGUUUUUCAGCCAGAAAUCUAGCAGGCCAGAGAUAGUGGGAUGAUGUAUUCAAAGUGUGAAAGAAAAAAACUGCCAAACAAGAAUCCUCUACCUGGCAAAGGUGUCCUUCAGAAUUGAAGGAGAGAUAAAAGAGUUUUACAAACAAAAGCUGAAAAGAGUUCAUUACGAUAGCCCAGCCUUACAAGAAGUGUUAAAGGGACUUCUUCAAGUUGAAGUGAAGGACACUAAUUAGUAACAUGAAAACAUAUUAAAUUAUAAAACAAUAAAAUUUACUGGUAAAGGUGUGUGUGUGUGUGUGUGUGUGUGUGUGUGUGGUUUAAUCCAGAAUACUCUAAUAUUGUAAUGGUGGUGGGUGAAUCACUUAUAACUCCAGUAUAAAGGUCAGAAGACAAAAGUAUUAAAAAUAACUAUAGCGAUAAUUUGUUA
This is a long non-coding RNA of Lynx canadensis (Canada lynx), 2197 nucleotides long. RefSeq lists it as uncharacterized. The record is from RefSeq and is a predicted model, not a curated record. The transcript has 4 exons. Lineage: Eukaryota; Metazoa; Chordata; Mammalia; Carnivora; Felidae.